This is a long non-coding RNA of Hemicordylus capensis (graceful crag lizard), 426 nucleotides long. RefSeq lists it as uncharacterized. NCBI's taxonomy places the organism in Eukaryota, Metazoa, Chordata, Lepidosauria, Squamata, Cordylidae. The transcript is spliced from 2 exons. The record is from RefSeq and is a predicted model, not a curated record.
GCCCAAGCCAGCCAGGAAGGAGGAGGCAGCCAGAGUGUUCUCUGCAGCAGAAGACCCCUUGCUGCCCUGCUUAACCCAGACCAGCAUUUGCCAGGCUCUGAAUCCAGUUUGCAUAUUGAGCUUCCAGGAACUAUUUUCAACUUCCAAGGGCAUUUGAGCAUGAAGAACACAUUUCUUGAUGUCUUUAGCUACAAAUUGGCACUCAGCUGGGCUUGCAGUAGCAUCGUGAGGAGGGGGCCAACAUCUUAAAUCCGCUGUUUAUUACCCAGGAAGUUCUGAUCAAGUUUAUGGUUCUAAAGACUUCAACAUAUCAACUCCACUGAAGAACAGGACAAGCUAUUGUAAAUAUGAACCAUCAAAGCACCAGCCAUUUCAAUGAAAUGAAGCAAAUCAAUUGUUUUUCAUAAAGGUGCCUUUCAGAUCUCC